RNAcentral lists this ribosomal RNA (479 nucleotides) under Klebsiella pneumoniae. RNAcentral describes it as "partial 23S ribosomal RNA". It matches the Rfam family "Bacterial large subunit ribosomal RNA", at positions 2259 to 2737 of the family's 2925-position model. Lineage: Bacteria; Pseudomonadati; Pseudomonadota; Gammaproteobacteria; Enterobacterales; Enterobacteriaceae. The record is from RNAcentral.
UGGUGGGUAGUUUGACUGGGGCGGUCUCCUCCCAAAGCGUAACGGAGGAGCACGAAGGUUAGCUAAUCCUGGUCGGACAUCAGGAGGUUAGUGCAAUGGCAUAAGCUAGCUUGACUGCGAGCGUGACGGCGCGAGCAGGUGCGAAAGCAGGUCAUAGUGAUCCGGUGGUUCUGAAUGGAAGGGCCAUCGCUCAACGGAUAAAAGGUACUCCGGGGAUAACAGGCUGAUACCGCCCAAGAGUUCAUAUCGACGGCGGUGUUUGGCACCUCGAUGUCGGCUCAUCACAUCCUGGGGCUGAAGUAGGUCCCAAGGGUAUGGCUGUUCGCCAUUUAAAGUGGUACGCGAGCUGGGUUUAGAACGUCGUGAGACAGUUCGGUCCCUAUCUGCCGUGGGCGCUGGAGAAUUGAGGGGGGCUGCUCCUAGUACGAGAGGACCGGAGUGGACGCAUCACUGGUGUUCGGGUUGUCAUGCCAAUGGCA